UCGCUCCGGUGGCCUAGUGGUUUGAGCUUCUGCCUGGGAUGCGGGAGGUCGCGUGUUCGAACUCCGGCCUAGUCAU
Molecule: non-coding RNA, 76 nt
Organism: Potamilus streckersoni
Lineage: Eukaryota; Metazoa; Mollusca; Bivalvia; Unionida; Unionidae
Source: the annotation of a GenBank genome assembly